This 468-nucleotide ribosomal RNA is filed under the name uncultured bacterium. RNAcentral describes it as "partial 16S ribosomal RNA". It matches the Rfam family "Bacterial small subunit ribosomal RNA", at positions 28 to 507 of the family's 1533-position model. The record is from RNAcentral.
GACGAACGCUGGCGGCGUGCUUAACACAUGCAAGUCGAACGGAAAGGCCCUGCUUUUGUGGGGUGCUCGAGUGGCGAACGGGUGAGUAACACGUGAGUAACCUGCCCUUGACUUCGGGAUAACUUCAGGAAACUGGGGCUAAUACCGGAUAGGAGCUCCUGCUGCAUGGUGGGGGUUGGAAAGUUUCGGCGGUUGGGGAUGGACUCGCGGCUUAUCAGCUUGUUGGUGGGGUAGUGGCUUACCAAGGCUUUGACGGGUAGCCGGCCUGAGAGGGUGACCGGCCACAUUGGGACUGCGAUACGGCCCAGACUCCUACGGGAGGCAGCAGUGGGGAAUAUUGCACAAUGGGCGGAAGCCUGAUGCAGCAACGCCGCGUGCGGGAUGACGGCCUUCGGGUUGUAAACCGCUUUCGCCUGUGACGAAGCGUGAGUGACGGUAAUGGGUAAAGAAGCACCGGCUAACUACGUG